Protopterus annectens (West African lungfish) is the source of this 613-nucleotide long non-coding RNA. RefSeq lists it as uncharacterized. Lineage: Eukaryota; Metazoa; Chordata; Ceratodontiformes; Protopteridae. The record is from RefSeq and is a predicted model, not a curated record. The transcript is spliced from 3 exons.
CCAGCAGCAUGGAAGGAAAUGCAGGCCUGUAUGGAUUUCUUUUCAGUCUGCCCUUAAUUCCUGUUCUAGAGCCUCUCUUUCUUGAUCUUUCACAUCUUUUCCUUUUAAUAUGCUUCCCAUGUCCGAUUGUCAACUGUUUAGACAGGUUUGACAGGUUUCUGCAAUUUUUACCAUGUUCCAUUGAGAUUCCAAGCUGGAAGAGUUCCUGGCGUGUGUUUGAGUUUACAGACCUCUCUGCUACCAGUUCAUCAAGCAUGCAGCACAGUGAGAUUUAAGAUUGGAUUUCCAGAAGAUUCUCAAGAUUGUUGGUUGAAUUAAAGAGUUGUGACGACUGAUAAAAACAAAUUUGGUUGAGAGAAGUAUUUGUUAUUGUCAAGAAGGAGAAGAAUGUCUGGACUUUCAGAAGUUAUGGCUUCUAGAAAUACUGAAAAGGUUACCUGUGGUACAGUACAAUCUCAUGCAUCCAAUGUUAACAGGAACAACUUGCUGCACAAGAAAUAAGUGUUCUGACAUACACCUCAAACAGCAGAGCCAAAUGCAAGCUCAAGAUGCUGGAGUGACCAGCCUGGAGAAAGCGGUCAUGUCCAAAUUGAGUAAAAACAACCUUCCAAAG